GCUGGGCAUGGUGGCUCAUGCCUGUAAUUCCAGCUACUUGGGAGGCUGAGGCAGGAGAAUCACUUGAACCCAGGAGGCAGAGGUUGCAGUGAACUGAGAUUGCGCCACUGCACUCCAGCCUGGGUGACAGAGUGAGACUCUGUCUCAA
This is a non-coding RNA of Chlorocebus sabaeus (green monkey), 148 nucleotides long. It matches the Rfam family "Metazoan signal recognition particle RNA". Rfam says of the family: The signal recognition particle (SRP) is a universally conserved ribonucleoprotein. It is involved in the co-translational targeting of proteins to membranes. The eukaryotic SRP consists of a 300-nucleotide 7S RNA and six proteins: SRPs 72, 68, 54, 19, 14, and 9. The record is from Rfam. NCBI's taxonomy places the organism in Eukaryota, Metazoa, Chordata, Mammalia, Primates, Cercopithecidae.